AACGAACGCUGGCGGCAUGCCUAACACAUGCAAGUCGAACGAGACCUUCGGGUCUUGUGGCGUCCGGGUGCGUAACGCGUGGGAACCUUCCCUUAGGUUCGGCAUACCUCUCCGACAGGGGUGCUAAUACCGGAUAAUAUCUACGGCCCAAGGAUUUAUCGCCUUUGGUUGGGCCCGCGUUGGAUUAGCUUGUUGUUAGGGUAAAAGCCUACCACGGCGCGGAUUGAUAGCUGGUAUGAGAGGAAGAUCAGCGACACUGGGACUGAGACACGGCCGAGACUCCUACGGGAGGGAGGAGUGGGGAAUAGUGGAAAAUGGGGGAAAGGCUGAAGCAGCAAUGCCGGGUGAGCGAUGAAGGUCGUAGGGUAGUAAAGUGCUUUUACCCGGGAUGAUAAUGACAGUACCGGGAGAAUAAGCUCCGGCUAACUCCGUG
RNAcentral lists this ribosomal RNA (433 nucleotides) under uncultured bacterium. RNAcentral describes it as "partial 16S ribosomal RNA". It matches the Rfam family "Bacterial small subunit ribosomal RNA", at positions 29 to 507 of the family's 1533-position model. The record is from RNAcentral.